This 105-nucleotide small RNA is filed under the name Salmonella enterica subsp. enterica serovar Albany. RNAcentral's name for it is "partial RtT sRNA". It matches the Rfam family "RtT RNA", at positions 1 to 104 of the family's 130-position model. From Rfam's summary of the family: This family represents a bacterial cis-regulatory element known as RtT RNA. The record is from RNAcentral. Lineage: Bacteria; Pseudomonadati; Pseudomonadota; Gammaproteobacteria; Enterobacterales; Enterobacteriaceae.
AUAUCUUUCUGUACGGGAAGGAUGAGAAGCUUCGACUAAGGUUCGAUUCGAGCGCAGCGAGAAAGCGUUGCCGCAGGCAACGACCCGAAGGGCGAAGCGCGCAGC